This is a long non-coding RNA of Tigriopus californicus, 1486 nucleotides long. RefSeq lists it as uncharacterized. The transcript is spliced from 3 exons. NCBI's taxonomy places the organism in Eukaryota, Metazoa, Arthropoda, Copepoda, Harpacticoida, Harpacticidae. The record is from RefSeq and is a predicted model, not a curated record.
CAAGGCGUUGUUCCAUCUCUCCAUCGUCUGCCUGCCCACCGUGCGAUCAAAACAGGGGAAUUACCGUCUUCCAAAUAGGGGAAUUACCGUUGCCCGUACAUAGGUCAUCACGCCACCUUGCUUGUAGCUUAUGGCGUGAUGUCAGUUGAACCUAUCACGGCCGCCGUGCCCGCCUGCCCUCCUUUUUUUUCUCCCAGCCUAGUUGCUGCGUUCGAUCAAAACUAGGUAAGUUACCCAUGUCCAGAUUAUGGCGUGAUGUCAGUUGAACCUAUCACGGCGCCGCCGUGCCCGCCUGCCCUCCUUUUUUUCUCCCAGUCUAGCUGCCUUCUUCCAGCCGUGUGCUCCUCAAAAGCCGUUAGUCGCCGGUAACGGAUCUUGAGGAAGGACGUCUCGACCUAGACUGUGCGCUUGGAAUUCAUUGGAGCUGCCCUUGGAUUUCGCUCCCGGAGUAGCUUCCUUUCCGGAUUUUCGGCUUCUCUGCGGGUUUCGGCGAAGCACGAGGAUUUCCCGAGCUCGUGGGCCCCGGUUUGGGAUUUAAAUUCAAUCCGGCCGGUCACAAUGGACGAGGAACAAAGUCCAGGCGGAGAGGAGGUGGACGUGGAAGCGGCACUUUGGGAGGUGUGCCUCGAGGAUUGGGGCGGGUCAAUGCGUUGAUCAGAUGGUGUAGGAUGGAUGCCAUUGAGGACCCCAAUGAGGCCCGAUUGGCAAAUACUUUGCUUCUGACGAGGCUUAGUUUGGAUGUGAUUGGUGGUUGGGCCAAUCUUUGGGCACGUCUCGGAUGAAGAGUUGUGGCCUGCCUGCAUGAUUGUGUGCCCGCAAUGGACCAUCGGAUCAUCACCGUUUUUGAUUGGUUUGCAAACAACGGCCUCACACAUGGAGCGGUUUUUUUUUUCUUUCAAUUUGGAUUUCGCAUUCCACUGGUUUGUUCGCUCAUUCCAGGGUCCAGAAAACGAGCCAUCAUCAAACCAACCAUCAAGUCAACCAUCAAGUCAACCACACCGUUGGCCGGCACAUUCAGCUGACGCUUCAUUGCACAUCAGUAACCAGAGAUCAUAAGCCUCAUAAGAUCACGACCAGAUUCCAAUGUCCAAUGUGUGUGCCAGUGUGCCAGUCUAAAAUUUAAAGUGAUAUGAAGUGAUCCCAUUGGAAGGUCCAUUGGGUGGGAUGUUUGUUAAAGAACGCAGUAAGUGGGUGUGCGAUGAUUGAUUGUACACUGUUCAAUCAAUGCUGAAUGAAGCCAUGAGUGGGCCUUUGCUUGCGCCUGAUGUCAAACUGACAUUCAACAUAACGUAUUGGGAGCAUGUUUGGAGGAAUGGUUCAAGCCCAUCAAGCAUCUAAGUGUUAUUCGCCUAUUCGCCGUUCGCCAUGUACGUAUGGGUACACUGUGACCGUAAAGUUUCUGCACCAUUGAAGUCUAGCGGCAUUUUAUAUUUCUCGCUUCAUAUGCACGGCUUCUGAGAAUAAAGUAGAUAUUUGGUUAACCAAA